Molecule: microRNA precursor, 76 nt
Filed under: Marmota monax (woodchuck)
Lineage: Eukaryota; Metazoa; Chordata; Mammalia; Rodentia; Sciuridae
Source: RNAcentral
UUAAAAAUUAUGGAAAUGUUCCUUUGUACACAUAUAAAAUCUAAUGUGUACAAAGGAACAUUUCCAUAAUUUUUCU